This 384-nucleotide long non-coding RNA is filed under the name Triticum aestivum (bread wheat). Its description in RNAcentral is "long non-coding RNA (TAES_LNC022013)". Lineage: Eukaryota; Viridiplantae; Streptophyta; Magnoliopsida; Poales; Poaceae. The record is from RNAcentral.
AUUCAAAAGAUAAAUGGAUGAGUAUAUGGGUGUGUGGCAACUCAACUGCAAAGAAAGAUGUCGAUGGUCCGUUUCAUGAUGAUGAUGAUGAUGAUGGAUGGAUGCUAUCAGUUUUAGUUAUAUCGUAGGGAUGACAUUCCUGUUGAAUGUUGUUCCUCGGUUAAGUUUUAGUUAAGUUGUAGGGAUGUUGAUGGAUGCUUUCGUUUAAGUUUCAGUGUCAGAAAAUAGUUAGAUUAUGCAUCACAUUUGGAUGAUGUUCUCCUGUAAUAACCACUAUUGUAAUCCAACAAUUUUAUCUAAUAUAUGAUUUCUUUGUCUCGUCAGUAUAUUCUCUUGUUUUUCCUUCACUUGAAAUACAUAAUUAUCACCUUUACAUGGAGCAUU